Molecule: long non-coding RNA, 4729 nt
Organism: Oryzias latipes (Japanese medaka)
Lineage: Eukaryota; Metazoa; Chordata; Actinopteri; Beloniformes; Adrianichthyidae
Source: RefSeq, a predicted model, not a curated record
UUCCCACGUGUGGGAUCAAUAAAGUAUCUCUGAUUCUGAUUCUGAUUUCAGUUUCUGUGGUUCAUCAAGAGUUUAGCGCUCAGGUGAAGCUCCGCCCCUCAGCUUUCAUCCCCCCCUGUUUAUCUCUCAGCAGUUCUGUCAGAAUCCAGAACCGCUUCAUGAUCUUACAGCAGAACCAGACACAGAACUGUUUCCAGUUUCCAGAGAACCUCGGAGGUCCACUCAGCACCAAGCUCCCCUUAGGACCGAGGUUCUGUGCAUUCAGAGCUCCAAAUCCAGAUCCUGCUGGAUGAAACCGGGUUUAGAUCUUUCCUCCAACAUUUGCAGCCGGACGCCGUGCACGUUCCCCAGCAGCUCAGAACCUCUUCUUUAGAACCUGUUCAUCAGCGUUGGCGAGGGUUUGUAUUUGUCUGAGCGUACGACAGCAAACGCCGUAUAAAUGCACGGACACGCGCUGGAAUGUGAGCGUGCACGUGUGUAGAUGCAUGCAUGUUUGCGCAUCCGCAUGCAGCAGGAUGAGGCGAUGCAGAUGGGAAUGUUUGUCAGACUCCUGAGAAAGUGCUGACGCUGAAACAUCUGCCUCCUUUCACUUCUGGUUUUCACCAUCUGCCAGGCUCAGACUCGCACGGCAUUGUGGGAUGUGGACGGUGGUUUGCAAGUCAGCAGAAAGCGAGCGAGCGGUGAGUAACGCUUUCUAAUGAUGCGCCCAGGGGUCACGGCUGCUGGUGUGCAGCCUGGAUCAGCCUCUGGGCCCAGAGGAGAACCGUGGAACCAACAGAACCUUUCUGGAAACUCCUCCAUGUGUUGGGGGUGCACAGGUGUGGGCGGGGCUAAAAACACCAGUUCUGCACAGAUUUGACAAACCUGUUUGUCAUAAAGAUCUCAUUCUGGAGAGCAAAGUGGCUGGUCCUUAAAUAAUUCCAUCUUCUGACGGUUGAUGGACCUGAGGAGGAUUUUCUGCUGAGUCACAGGAUUCUGUCCUCAUGAAAGGAACCAGCAGCAAGGUUCUGAAAUUCUGAAGCUCCACUGAAGAAGACUCUGGAUGAAGGUGUUAAAAGAUCCCGGCAACAUUAAGCUGCGUUAGCAUUAGUUCGUGGAUGAUCCUUAGUUCCAUGGUUCUCUUCAGUCUGUAACUGAAGUCAGAACUCGAUGCUGAGUCAUGAAACGUGACCUCAGCGGUUGGCGCCGGCUAAGCUAACCGCUAGUCUUCAGAACAGAGGAUGCUGACGGCACGUCGCCACAUCUUCAUCCAGUCCGCCGAAGUUUUGCUUUGACUCCAUCAGAGAGCCAAACUCUGCAAAGGUUCAAAACAAAAACAGGAGAAAAGGGGCGGAGCUACGUGGGGGGAACUGAGAGUCUCAUUUCGUGUCAGCGCCUCUUUUUUUCCUCUUCCUCUGGGUGUCAGCCGCCAUGUUCGCUGAAGGCCGGGUUAGUGAAGGACAUCUUCCUGUCACCUCUGUCGCUGCUGUUAAAACUGGCGGCGUUGUCAUAGCAACAUUUGAAAAAUGGGCGGAGUUAAGAGAAUGCAGCAUCAUUUAAGGGUCAAACUGCAGUUUUCAGGAAAAAUGAGCGAGUGGCGGAGAUGCUGCUGAUGUGCAGCUGAUCUGCAGCCAGCAUGACUCAGCGCUUUGGGAGGACGCAGACGUGCGUCUGCAUCGUCUGCAGCCUGUUUACAGUGAAGGCUGCAGACUAUUUAAAGUCCUGCUGUAUUUGUGUCAGGCGUACACAGAGCGCAGGAGCCGGCGGGGCCCCGGCCGCCGCUGCGGUUCUGUCCGGGUCACGUCAGGUUACAGGAGUUUGCUGGAAGAAGAAAACAAUAACAGGUCGGGCUGCGGCAUCAUCAGCGACCAGAGCCGAGCGGAGUCUGACCCGGGACGACCGCAGAGGCUCCAUCCAUCACAGCUUCGGUUCAGCUCAGGGACAAAAGGCCGAGGAGCAAAGACACCGCUGAAGGUCUCGGUGUCGAGUCUGUCGCAAAACGUACAAAAAGAAAACCAUCAUGACAAUAACGCAGCGUCUGCUCCUCGCGGUCAGAGCAGCGUUGAUGGUUGGAUUUCUAAAUCUUUUUCAGCUCCUUUGAAACGUCGCCGUGCGUUUCUGCGUGCGUUUCCCUCAAAACGCUGCUGAUCUUCAGGAAGUUCCUGCUUGUUCCGUUGGUUUUGGUCACUUUCACUGUUCUUGAAGCAUCAAACUGUUGAACAUCCACUGAAAAUGAAGGAAGAAGCUUCUUUUGGCUCCAAAGAUCAACAGUCUGUGGCAAAUACUUGGCCUUUAAAGGGGAGCAUUUAGGUAAUUAUUUGAUAUAAUUAUUGUUGCCACCUUACAAAGUUCAGGGCAAAACAUGUCUGUCACUCAGGACUGAUGUGGAGCAGAAAAGCUUUGACAGGAAGGAGCUGAAGUCUGAGUCUGAUAGCCAUCCAUCAUGACGUGCACGCUCAGAAUGUGCACGCUCUGAGUGUGCACGCUCAGAAUGUGCACGCUCUGAGUGUGCACACUCAGAAUGUGCACGCUCUGAGUGUGCACGCUCUGAGUGUGCACGCUCAGAAUGUGCACGUUCUGCUGCAGCUUCCCUCUGAGCUCAGCUGGAACAGAACCCCGGCGCCGCGUUUGUUCCAUUCAUCCUUCGGACAGACUUUUACAUAAGAGCAGCUCAAAGGGCCGAGGUAGAGCCUGAGCAGGGCAAGGUCCAAACUACCCCAGCAAGCAGGAUUUAUCAGAACAGACUUUAAACUGCCCCGUUACUGAUCAACCUGCAGCAGCCGCCGCUGCACGGACGCUGCAGCACGCUGACGCCACCUCUGAACCCACCAGACUGGGAGCUGCCAGAACGCCACGGCGACCCGGUUUUUCAGCCAAUGACCACGGCGUCAAACCCGGUCGGGCCCAAAACAUUCGGGCAUUCUUGGCUGCAUUUGAUCCGCUGGUUCACUUUCUCAGCCUCCAUUUGAAUGAAGGGAGAAAAUCCCAAAUUCUUCAAGCUUGCUCAGCGGUUCAGAGAUCCAAACUUUGUCCUGGAGGAACCGGGUGCCGGAACCAGAGCCGGACUGAACAGAAGAGCCAUGAAAACAUGGAUUCAGCUUUUUCACAUCCUGUCAGUUUCACGAUUUAAAGAUUCAGGUUCAUGUUUUGGAAAUAAAAUGAUCUGUUUUCCGCCGUUUGCUUUGUACAAUCUGGAUGUUCAGCCUUUAUUUCACAGGUCAAGAACUUAACAUCUUUAGUUUCCAUCACAACCGUUUCUGUUUACUGUCAAACUAGUUUUACUCCAAACAGGAAAGUCAGAAUUUUCCACUUUUUCUAUUAAAAUCUGUACUUUUGCUUUAUGCUUUUGAUCUGGAACUUUUAUUUUAGAAUUCUGUGAUGAAGUCUAACUUCACAUUAACGAGCGUUCACAACAUUCAACUUUUUCUCUUCUAUUUCAUUUCUUUUAGGCCACCAUCAAAAUCCUCUAAGAAUUAAUGUAGCUCCUCCCACAUAUGCCCCGCCCCCUUGCAGCAUACACCUCAGGUGUGCCACAGCUGCUAGUCUUUGGUUUUGGUGUGUUUUGAUUGAUGCUCUGUUUCUAGUUCGAGGAUUUUUCUAACUCUUUGUGUUUUCCGUGUUUUUGGAGUUUCUUCACACUGUGUGACGACUUUUUGUCUUCACAUCUUCUGGACCUACGUCCAUCUAGACUCACUGAGAUCACCCACAUCUCAGCUGGUGGAGUACAAAGUGCUGGACGGGGUGGUAGGACGGUCAGCUGUCAGACCUCCGAUCUUCUCUGAUUGGUCGUAUUUCACCGUCUGAGUAAAACUGGAAUAAUGUGUGACCAUGAAGGAGAACUUUCUCUCCUCUGCUGCUGGUCACAGAGUCGCAGCAGAGCCACAAAUCAUUAACCGAGGUGACGCUAAAAACGUCCCAGAGAAGAAUAGGAGCCGGUUUUUGUUGGGCCGGUCAGAGGAUGGAAAUUUACAGCAGAGCUGAAGAUCUCAUGACAUUCAAGAACAUUUUUACCAAGGGGGCCGGUGGGAAACUGGUGGAAGAAGGAGGGGAGGAAGACAUGCUGGUAGGAAGAGAGAGAAGAGUCAUGAGUGUUGGACUGAGACUAUGCGCUCUGACGGUUGGAACUAUGACAGGUGAAGGUAGAGCCGGCGUCCAGAGCCGACGCCGCUCUGGGGUUGAAUGAGCGUAACUCUCCGAUCACUCUACGCGUCCAAUGAUGAAGCAGCUUUUCUCUCUACAAUUCUCUGGAAUGAUUAAUGGUCGAAGAGUUACAGUAAUUCAUAGGCUGUGUCCGAAAUCCCUCACUACACGCUGAACUACAUCGGCCAUUUUUUCCGAUCUCCACCACAUCGUGACCCUAACAAAGGAAAGAGGACAUAAGGAUCACUGACCGUCUUUUCCUCCAUUCCCCACAUAAUGACAUGAAGCAGCAGAGCCACAACCAUUAAAGGAAGCUGUCGGUCAACUUCCAUGUACAGAUAUCUGCAGAUCUACAUGACGGUCUGACGUCUCUGAAGGUCAGCGGGACAUUUAAGACAGUAACUGUGAAAGUCCACGAGGGAUUCCACCUUCCGAGCUCUGAUGGUGAAGACAUGACGGCAUCAAAGCACCGAGCUUUUUUCAAAAGUACCAGUUCUGUUUGAAGCCUAAAGACUCUCAAACUGAAUUUGCUGUGUUUUCAUUGAAACAGUCAAAGUUAAUGUCCUUCGUAUUGAAACUGUUUUGUAAUUAAAGGAGUUUUAACCAUUGA